GAAAAGUUAAAAGACACCGGGACGAUCGCGUCCAACGACAGGAGGAGCUCGGAAACUCGCAAAGAAAGAACGACGCCCUCCUGUAAGCUGUGGAAAAAAGACACCGGGAGAACCUCGUCCUUUAAAACGCACCAAGCAAAGUAGAUCUACGAACCAGUAAGACUCAUUUUUUCUUUUUAUUCUAUGUGUGUUUUGACGGCCGCCGCGCCGCUUUCUCACAAACACGCACACAUGCACGCACACUGAUUUUUACAUCCUCCCCUCUUUGUCUUUGCUGUGUAUUGAAGAUGGCUUGUCAUGACCGCCGCGUCGUGACGAUGUGUUUGUCCAAUCAGCUUGAAAUGUUAUGUGUUAUGUGCUAUGUGUUAUGUGUAUUUGCUAGGCCGCCGCGCCAUAACUUUCCAUUUUUUUGACAACAUCCGUUUCACCGACAUAGUCAGCGCAUCCAAUUUGAACCUGGCCACCAAAUUAUUUCAUCCGUUCAUCCCACACGGCCACCCAGUCAUUUGUCUCUUGUCUCUCUUUGUUUGUCUUUCUAUUUCUCUGUUUUUCCUCUAUUUUAGGACCGGAUAGCUUAACUCGUAAUUGUGUCGGGAGGGAAGUCCUCCCGACACAAUUGUAGCAUCUUGUCGUUAGGAUAGUGAGUUUUUUAAAUGACUGCAGAAUGUUUGUUAACUUUGGGAGAGAAAUUCUCUUUCCCUUUGUUUUUUUUUUUUUUGGGCCUAGGAUUAGCUCUGGUUUUAUUAAGUUACUGCAGUAGAUGAUGAUAGAUGGUGUAGAGACUGAAGGGAUCUUUCAGGGCUCUGUGGAGGCUCAGACAGGUUUUAGGUUGGCUAGAUAGUAGUUUAUUGGUCCUUAGCUGCAAUAGAUGAUGAUAGAAGUGGAGAGAUUUUUGUCGUGUGGUGUUAAGUCUGAAGGUGUAGAAGGUGCCUUGUCUAUUGAUUUCUGUCUCUGUCUAAUAAGCUUGGAUCAAUAUUUGUGCACUAACCCCUUUCCUUUUUAGGUAAAUCUACAAUUGGUGAGUCCCAUUUUUAUAUUCUUCUAUGUUUUUUGAAUGGCUGCCAUGCCUCCCUGCUUAUCUGUCU
Molecule: long non-coding RNA, 1085 nt
Organism: Lates calcarifer (barramundi perch)
Lineage: Eukaryota; Metazoa; Chordata; Actinopteri; Centropomidae
Exons: 3
Source: RefSeq, a predicted model, not a curated record